This 440-nucleotide ribosomal RNA is filed under the name uncultured bacterium. RNAcentral's name for it is "partial 16S ribosomal RNA". It matches the Rfam family "Bacterial small subunit ribosomal RNA", at positions 338 to 795 of the family's 1533-position model. The record is from RNAcentral.
CCUACGGGAGGCAGCAGUGGGGAAUAUUGCACAAUGGGGGAAACCCUGAUGCAGCGACGCCGCGUGAGUGAAGCAGUAUUUCGGUAUGUAAAGCUCUAUCAGCAGGGAAGAAAAUGACGGUACCUGAUUAAGAAGCCCCGGCUAACUACGUGCCAGCAGCCGCGGUAAUACGUAGGGGGCAAGCGUUAUCCGGAUUUACUGGGUGUAAAGGGAGCGUAGACGGCAGCACAAGUCUGGAGUGAAAUGCCGGGGCUUAACCCCGGAACUGCUUUGGAAACUGUGCAGCUAGAGUGCAGGAGAGGUAAGUGGAAUUCCUAGUGUAGCGGUGAAAGGCGUAGAUAUUAGGAGGAACACCAGUGGCGAAGGCGGCUUACUGGACUGUAACUGACGUUGAGGCUCGAAAGCGUGGGGAGCGAACAGGAUUAGAUACCCCAGUAGUC